This is a long non-coding RNA of Chenopodium quinoa (quinoa), 349 nucleotides long. RefSeq lists it as uncharacterized. The transcript has 2 exons. NCBI's taxonomy places the organism in Eukaryota, Viridiplantae, Streptophyta, Magnoliopsida, Caryophyllales, Amaranthaceae. The record is from RefSeq and is a predicted model, not a curated record.
CUCGCGUAAUGGGAGAAUUCUGCAAUUAAUAUUGCUCGGGGUAAUGCUAAUGCAUGUAUUUGGCUUCUUUUUGGUGUUUGUUGUGCCGUCUGUGCUUGCUGCAAUGAACUUGAUGUGGUUUGGGAAGAUACUCAGAGGAUUGAAGAAGAAGUUAGCAAAGAGACAAUGACUCAGUAAUGGAAUUGCAUGGUAUUUUCUUAGAAUCUUUUUUCUUCGGUGUAAAAAUGGUGGGUUGGAAAUGUGAAGGCAAAGGGAUCUUUUUUCUUCGUGAAGAUAAUUGUAUCGCCAUUUUUUAUUUAGUUUUUUAAGUGUAAUAUUACAAGUUAUUGAAGAAAAUAUGUGUUUUAUG